AAUGCUUACAGAUAACAGCCAACCAGUCAUUGCAGUGCUUCUUUUACAGCCAACCAGUCAUUGCAGUGCUUCUUGUACUGUAUUUUCUUUAAACCCCUCCUGUCUGAAAUAAGGACACUUCUCUUUUUAUUUAUUUAAUGGGGAUGUUAUAGAAACUAAUAGUUUCAUAGAUAAAGUAGUAAAAUUUGUAUGGGAGGAAUUUAGCUUACUUAGGAACUUGAAAAAGAGUAGAGAGACUAGGAGUUAGCAGACCAAGAUUCUUCUGUUGAUUAUCUUUUAAAAAGACUAAAAACUUUCCCCUAACUUACCCUGUUGUGAAAAUGAGUGAGAUGCAUCUGAUGUCCCUGUCAACCCCCACUGUAGCAACAAAGGAGCAAAGACAAAUAAGCAAACAAAAAGAGCUAUGUGUAGUAGUCAUAAGUGUUAGUCAACAAAUAUUCUUAAAUUAUCUCAAUAUUAGUAGAGCAAUGCUAUAAAAAGUUUAAAUAUAUGUUAAAGCUGUAAAUGGUACUCUCCUGCUGCCAUGCCAGAAAGCUGACUUUUUGCUCACUUCCCAUAGCAAUGUCUACUUUUGACUUUCAUAGGGAAUGCUGUAUAAAUGCAAAGAUAAAAUGAAACUUCCACUGAAAAAAAUAAUGUACUAGCAAAUUACUGAUGAGGUUAAUUUUAAGGAGGACAUAGAGGCUUGGUAAUAAAGGUCACAGAGCAGAUUUGCUGAUUAUUAUAUAUGUAAUUACAAAAAGUCAUUAAAUUAAGGCAAAGUAGAUUCUUUUGAUAAGAAAAUAAAAACCCAUUCUUAAAAAUUGAUUGAAAGUAAAAGCAUGAAUUAAAAAUAAAGUCAUGGUAAAAUAUCACACAGAAAUGGUGACCUUCAGCCAAUUAACUGGAUAUUAGUCUUGUCAUGAAAUAAAAAAAGCAUUUGUUGAAGGAUCAUGAUGCCAAUAUCUCCUAAUAUUUAAUUUCACCCAUGUCACUCUACAAUUUGAGUUUCAUUCCCUUCGCUGAACAGGGUGUCUAAAGUUCUUCUAAAUCCUUUCACUGGUGCAAUUCUAGAUCUCUCUGUCUUCACCCCUCUGACCUUAGUCUCAGGGACAUUAGGGUCUCUGCCUCUUUAUAUAACUCAGUCCACACAUUCACAGGGGUCUUUCUUCAGUACUGUACUUUCUUUCAGUACUGUACCCAUUCAUGCUAAUGACUUCCAAAGCCCCAGUCUUUUUUUGCUAUCUCUCCUUUGUAGAAUUCAGAAAAAAGGUCUGUUACCAUCUUAAUUCAAAUGACUGAGCUUUCCUUCACUCCCUUGUCCUUCCAAGUGCCUUAUAUGUUACUCUGCAAGAGAGUACUGCUCAGAUAAUCUACUGAUGACCAAAAGAAAACAUCUUUAAACUUACAUCUCCCGAAAGAACCUAUCCUUACCACCAGUAGGUGACUUUGCAAAAGGGUGUUAAAUAACUCACUGGGUAGAGGUGGAAAGAAAAUAACAACACAAACUUGUUGACUCAUAGAUUAAAAAGCCUCAGAAGAUUAUAGAGGACUCUGUAGGUGAUAAAACUUAGGGAAAGUGAAAAAGAUAUAGCUCCUCAGUACAACUUGUUCCAAGCGAUGUCCUCUCAUUUAAUGGAGAGAACAUAAGAUGAAAGUGGUGGGUAAUAGACUUCCUUUGUUCAAGCCUAGGUUGGACCACUGACCAUAUAAAACCCUCUCAACCUCAGUUUCUCCUUUGUCAAAGCGUUUUGCCCCCUAACUUCUGUGCUAACGUGAAAUGGAAUACAUGAAAACAACUUGAAGUACUAAGCAAUAUAAAUAGAAGGUAGUUAUACUACUAUAAUGAUCAGUUUGGGGAUGUGGGGUUGCUACGGUCUCAGUGAGAACAUGUGUUCCAUGAUUGUAGUGAAGUGCUUAUUUACUUGUUCACUAGCUUAUUGCUGUUCUCCCCAACUAAAUUGUAUACUCCAGAGUUCCCAUCAUGGUGCAGUGGAAACAAAUCUGACUAGGAACGAUGAGGUUCCAAGGCUAGGGGUUGAAUCGGAGCUGUAGCCACUGGCCUACGCCAGAGCCACAGCAACGCGGAAUCCGAGCCGCAUCUGCAACCUACACCACAGCUCACGGCAACGCCGGAUCGUUAACCCACUGAGCAAGGGCAGGGACCGAACCCGCAACCUCAUGGUUCCUAGUCGGAUUCGUUAACCACUGCGCCACGACGGGAACUCCCUUGGCUUAGGUUUUUAAUGUCUGGGGUUAUGGGAACCCAAUCAGUCAAGAGCAAAAUAGAACCAUUUAGAAUGGACCAAACUGUGUCUGAUAAAAUAAUUUCCAAAAAAAAAAAAAAAA
RNAcentral lists this long non-coding RNA (2328 nucleotides) under Sus scrofa (pig). RNAcentral's name for it is "lncRNA (ENSSSCG00035068864.1)". Lineage: Eukaryota; Metazoa; Chordata; Mammalia; Artiodactyla; Suidae. The record is from RNAcentral.